This 31-nucleotide non-coding RNA is filed under the name Homo sapiens (human). The record is from RNAcentral. Lineage: Eukaryota; Metazoa; Chordata; Mammalia; Primates; Hominidae.
UCCUAGAGGCCAAAAGGAAGGUAACGGGAAC